UGCGUAGGUGGCCUGACAAGUCAGGGGUCAAAGGCAACGGCUCAACCGUUGUAAGCCUUUGAAACUGUCGGGCUUGAGUUCAGGAGAGGAAAGCGGAAUUCCUAGUGUAGCGGUGAAAUGCGUAGAUAUUAGGAGGAACACCAGUGGCGAAGGCGGCUUUCUGGACUGAUACUGACACUGAGGCACGAAAGCGUGGGGAGCAAACA
RNAcentral lists this ribosomal RNA (206 nucleotides) under uncultured Proteocatella sp. Its description in RNAcentral is "partial 16S ribosomal RNA". It matches the Rfam family "Bacterial small subunit ribosomal RNA", at positions 568 to 774 of the family's 1533-position model. Lineage: Bacteria; Bacillati; Bacillota; Clostridia; Peptostreptococcales; Filifactoraceae. The record is from RNAcentral.